UAGAUAGAGAUACAAAUAUACAAAUAUAGAUAUAAAUAUAUAUAAGUAAAUAAACGUAACCCUUAAACCGGUAGUAAACAAAUGAUAAGAGGGGUAGAAAAGUAAAUUUGAUCCUAACCCUAGACACCCAUAUAUAACCAUCUUUAACUCUUAACCCUUUUCAUUUCACCCCUACAACUUUCAGCCGUCCCCUCUCCCUCUCAUUUCGGCCCCCUACCAUUUGAGCUUCCUCUCUCUCUCUCUCUCUCUCUCUCUCUCUCUCUCUCUCUCUCUCUCUCUCUCUCUCUCUCUCUCUCUCUCUCUCUGUUUUCAUUUUCUUGUUUGAUCUUUGUUUUUAUUUUAUUUUUCUUUUAAUCUCUUGCAGUUUUGUCCGCAUUACUCAUCUCUUGCAUUUAUUUGAUUUUUUUUUGGUGCAUUUAGAUCUAGAAUGUUCUUUACGGGAAUUUUUUUUCUCUCAGUUUUUAUCUUCUUGUUUGAUCUUUGUUUCUACUUUCUUUUUCUUUUAAUCUCCUGUAGUUUCGUCUGAACUACUCAUCUCUUGCGUUUAUUAUAUUUUUUUUUUGUUCAUCUUUUGUGCAUUUAGAUCUAGAAUAUUUUUUACGGGAAUUUUUUUUUUCUAAACUUUCAGAUCUGAACCGUUUAUUUCAUUUAUUUGUUAUUGAUUUUUUAUACGUUUCAAUGAAGAAUGUUUUUGACAGUUUUUCAAAUUUUGUUCUGUUUUUACUUUAAGAUCUGAACAAAUUUUUUUUUUUUGGUUGAGUUUCCUUCUCGUUUUUUUGUUCUUGUUUUUGUCUCUUGCCUUAUUUUGUUCUUCCGUUCUCUUAUUUUGUUGUUUGAUGUUUGGAAUUUUCAGAUCUGUACAACAACUUAUUGUUUUGCAAAUGAUGUAUGUAACGUGCGGAUCCUCCAUGCACAAUAACAACUUAUUGUUAUUUUUUUAUGCAUAUUUUUGAAUUUUUCUGUUGGAUUUGUUAUUUGUUAGUUCUUCCUCUCGUGGUGGCUCAGAUCCGCUGCCUAUGACCGCGCUUAGCAGCCGACUACCACGGCGGAAGGUGAAAUAUUUUUCGUUUGUGUAUUAUUUCACCAUUGUGUAUUAACGUACUCUGUUUGGGUUUUAAUUUUUUUUUAUCUGAACGAUAUUUUCGGUUUGUUGGUUGGAUCUGUUGUUUUUGGUUGAAGGAAGUUUUUGUUUUUCCUGAUGGAUAUUUCUAGGUUUUUCCGUUGAAUAUGUUGUUUGUUGGGUCUUCCUAAUAUCGCAGUUCACAUCGGCUGAUAAUGGCCAGUCGGCAGCCCACGACCAUGCCGGAAGGACGUACGAACAAAUUUGAAGAUUAAAUUUCAGAAGAUCCAAUUUGUAUGAGGGAUUUAAUUGUUUUGUUGGGUUUACUCUAUGUAAAUAAAGAUGUAAAUAUGCAAAUAUAGUAAAUAUGCAAAUAUAGUUUUAUCUUUCCAUUUUUUUUGGCUGUAAUACACAUGCAUAUCAUGUAAUUACAUAAUAUAAGAAAUAGAUUCAUACAAUACAAUUAAUUUUUACAA
Long non-coding RNA from Carya illinoinensis, 1536 nucleotides. RefSeq lists it as uncharacterized. NCBI's taxonomy places the organism in Eukaryota, Viridiplantae, Streptophyta, Magnoliopsida, Fagales, Juglandaceae. The transcript has 2 exons. The record is from RefSeq and is a predicted model, not a curated record.